UACAGAGGUGGCAAGCGUUGUUCGGAAUUACUGGGCGUAAAGGGCGCGUAGGCGGCCACCGCAAGUCAGUUGUGAAAUCUCUGGGCUUAACCCAGAAAGGUCAACUGAUACUGCGGGGCUAGAGUGCAGAAGGGGCAACUGGAAUUCUCGGUGUAGCGGUGAAAUGCGUAGAUAUCGAGAGGAACACCUGCGGCGAAGGCGGGUUGCUGGGCUGACACUGACGCUGAUGCGCGAAAGCUAGGGGAGCGAACGGG
Molecule: ribosomal RNA, 254 nt
Filed under: uncultured bacterium
Lineage: Bacteria
Description: partial 16S ribosomal RNA
Rfam family: Bacterial small subunit ribosomal RNA
Source: RNAcentral